GACGAACGCUGGCGGCGUGCUCAACACAUGCAAGUCGAACGGAAAGGCCCUGCUUUUGUGGGGUGCUCGAGUGGCGAACGGGUGAGUAACACGUGAGUAACCUGCCCUUGACUUUGGGAUAACUUCAGGAAACUGGGGCUAAUACCGGAUAGGAGCUCCUGCUGCAUGGUGGGGGUUGGAAAGUUUGGGCGGUUGGGGAUGGACUCGCGGCUUAUCAGCUUGUUGGUGGGGUAGUGGCUUACCAAGGCUUUGACGGGUAGCCGGCCUGAGAGGGUGACCGGCCACAUUGGGACUGAGAUACGGCCCAGACUCCUACGGGAGGCAGCAGUGGGGAAUAUUGCACAAUGGGCGGAAGCCUGAUGCAGCAACGCCGCGUGCGGGAUGACGGCCUUCGGGUUGUAAACCGCUUUCGCCUGUGACGAAGCGUGAGUGACGGUAAUGGGUAAAGAAGCACCGGCUAACUACGUG
This 468-nucleotide ribosomal RNA is filed under the name uncultured bacterium. Its description in RNAcentral is "partial 16S ribosomal RNA". It matches the Rfam family "Bacterial small subunit ribosomal RNA", at positions 28 to 507 of the family's 1533-position model. The record is from RNAcentral.